Long non-coding RNA from Myotis daubentonii (Daubenton's bat), 578 nucleotides. RefSeq lists it as uncharacterized. NCBI's taxonomy places the organism in Eukaryota, Metazoa, Chordata, Mammalia, Chiroptera, Vespertilionidae. The transcript is spliced from 2 exons. The record is from RefSeq and is a predicted model, not a curated record.
AUAAUUACCAUUCAUAAAGUAGCUGUUAAAUGGUUGUUCAUCUCUGAAUUAAAGGCCAAGUUUCCAACAACCUGCUGUCUAGCCCUGCCUCUGUGACCUUAGGAAAAGGCAUGGAGACUUCUAUCCCCAGUGGAUUAGAAAAAAAGAAAAGACUUCUUUGCCUUGCUGGCCACAGCCCUCUCACUGCAUCCUCCAAGUCAAGGCCAGAAGUGACGGGGAGACGAAUGUCGUUGAGUGUGGCCUGCACUCCCGGACGUUGACCUCUUCAAGCCUGGCCACCAGAGCCAGGAGUUCUAGUUCUCCACAGUCUCCGAUGCUGCCAGUCAGCAAUGGCAGGACAUUCCACCUAAAACCAUGUCGAGGGUGGUUUCAACCUCAGGAUCACCCACAAUUUAAACACUGAAUACACCGAGCUCCCCAUAUCCAAUUACUGAGGUCAAAAAAGUUGGGUGGGUUGAGGGAACUUGACAUGAAGCCAUGUCUAACCCGGCACCAUUCACAAAGCAAGUGGCAUUCCCAUUUAGUUUAUGUAUUUGAAGUCAUAUCUGGUGACUUCAUUUUCAAUAGAUGCAUUUUUU